This 38119-nucleotide long non-coding RNA is filed under the name Physcomitrium patens. Its description in RNAcentral is "long non-coding RNA (PPAT_LNC002838)". The record is from RNAcentral. Lineage: Eukaryota; Viridiplantae; Streptophyta; Bryopsida; Funariales; Funariaceae.
CCCCGACACCCUCUUCUAGUUCGGAAGCGGGAGGGUGUCGAAGUUGGUUAACCGUCACAUUCGGCUUGUUCGUCGUGAUGAGAUGCAUAUGGAUGUGAAAGCGUGUGACUGCAUGCACAUGAAUGUGGAGUGCACGGAUGGUUGGAUGCGUGGAUGUUGACUUGUGAAAUAGAUGCGUUUGUGAUGCGGCGAUUGUAUGGUGCUGUAAGCAUUAAAAUCACGCCGGUGGUGUUCCACAAGGCGAUUGGGGGUCACGGUUGUCGUCUUUGAUGAAACUGGUUAGCAAGCAUGGCGAUCGUGUUCGAACGAGGCGGUUGCAUCGCGCGGCGGAGCACGGUGGGAGUGAACCUUGGUGCCUAGAGUUUGUGAAGGAUUGUGAUGUUGGGCGAUUUGUGGUAUGCACAACGUUAGGAAGGGUUUCGGUAAUCGGUUCCGGCACAGGUAUGAGCGACGGCAGACCUGCAGGUGCUCCAGAGGACCGAUGCAGGCACGUCGAAUGGGAGUGUUGUCUGGAGGCCUCACGAUUGGGCGUGGAAGGCUUUGUGAAAGUGCGAGGGAACCAUUAUUGUGUUCAGUCCCACACUGCUCUCUCUCUUCAACGGAGUAGUAGUACGUUGUGAAGCUACUUGAAUGACAUGUACGACGGCUUAUUUGCGUGGGAUCACUUGGGAAUUAGCAGAAGUAAUGGUCACCAUUCAACUCCCUGGUGUCCACUGGACUUUUGCCCUUUCUAGUCCGUAGGUGGUGUGUGCUUGGAGAUGGGCUCUUUGCAGACGCCGAAACCGAGCUUGAGGAGGGAGUGGGGUUCCCCUGCGUUAUGACUUUCAGAAGGGUAUUUUCUUCCGAGGACGCAUGUUUUGGCAGUAAUCGGCUUGAACGCAAAGGUUGUGCGCAUCUAAGAUGCCAUACCAAUUGCAAUCGUGAGCGGUGCGAAUCGGAGCUGGUUUGGGUGACGCGCAGGGCCGAUGAAGUUUUUGUAAGAACCAAUGCGAGGACAUGCUGACGGACGAGUGUGUGAGGAGAGUAAACAACAGUGACCAGUUCGCUUCCAUUUAUGGUUUGCACAAGUCCACGCGUGGACGAGUGCUUCGAUUCCGACACUCGCUGGCGUGAGACUUGUGACCAAAUCGAUGAGUGGAAGAGGGAGUGUCGGAGACCGUGCUCGAUCGGUAGCAUUAAUUAGGAUUUCUGCGUAGGAUGGGCCGAGGGAGGUGCAGAUCGCAAGAGGCUGACAUAUUGCUCGAAGUUUCUGGCCGAAGACCCACCAGACGCUACUGCUCUCCGUGCAUUCUGUGUCAUUUGUUGCGUGUUGUGUCGAGUGGUCCGGUCUCCCCCCUGUUGCAUUAAUUUGCGAAUCUUCCGUUCUAUCUCCUCCUUUCGGACACGCCGUUUGAUCUUCCCAUCGUCUCCAAGAUUCUGCGCUGGGUCGAUGGGUUCUCUCUCCAACUCGAUCGCUAGCUUCGCAGUGUCCACCAAGAAUCUGCGGUCAUGCCACGGCGUCAGAGCAUCAGUCCUGCAUGUGUUUGCAGGUGGGGGUUCCCGUACUGUGAUUGCUGGAUCCUCGCAGACCUGGCGGUUACGAAGAGUGACCCGAAAGUAGGACAUGCGUGAGACAUCGGAUCUCAGCGACUAACCUGUUGUUGAGGUUUUGGUCUGCCCAUAAGGGCCACGUAAGCAUUGGGACGCCUGCACACACGCUUUCCAGAGUGGAGUUCCAGCCGCAGUGGGUUGGGAAAACCCCGGUUGCAACAUGCCUCAGUAUUCGCAGCUGCGGCGCCCAUCUGGAGUAGCACAUACCUCUCCUCUUCGUCCUCUCUUCAAAUCCUGAUUCCAAGCAUAGGUGUGACUGUCAGGUGAGGAGACCAGUGUGCAUACGAGGGAGAGGAAGGAUCCGAUGAGCCAGGCGGCGCAUCGGGUGUAACUGACGUAUGUCGAGCGUCAGAUUUCAAUUCUAGUCUUGCAAGCGGCACUGAAACCUCGACGCUUGCAACGGACGGUACAAAACAUUCACCUGGGGGCAGGUAUUCCGCCAGCGAGGUCGAUGCCUCGGUGGCUUCGUGAGCAGGCAACGAAUCGGGAAGCCGUAAAAUCCACAAGAAAGGCUGGCCGCUGGCUUCAAGCUCCGAUGCCAACUCCAGCAGCUGCGGGGCUCCGUGAGUGGUGAAGCUCCCGAAGCUGACGUACAGAACUGAAGAGGGCUUCUGCGUGCUAAGCCAAAGAAUGCAAGGGUCCGUUUCCUCAUCCAAAUGCAGGUUCACGUCGUCCGUAAAGUAGGCCUCCGGUAGCAUUGGACCUAUGUCAAGCACAUGUUUCGCCUGCACAAGUGUCGUAGAGUUUCAUGUCACAAGCGGAGAAGUCAGGAUUUCUUGUCACAAUUCGCAGGUUCUGUGUGGGGCCCGAGAACCCAUGCGAGUAUGGAUUAUUCUCGAUUACCUAACCGUAUCCCACAUGAAAAGACGCAGGUGCCGAGGGAGGCUGACCUUCACGCCAGCACCAGUACCAAUCACUUCUUCCUGCAGUGCAACGAUGGCUCGCUUUUCGAGACCGUAGAAGCUGUUGGUCAAAACCACGUCCGCCAUGGCCAUUCGGUAGUCGUUGUAUUUCAUCCAUUUGUACGUUUCGGCACUUAGGAACAGUGAAGGAAGGUCUCGAGGCUGGAGUGGUGGCAAGCCGGGAAUGUCUGCAAUCGGAACGCUCUGAGUUUCUGGAGUGAGUGGAACUCGACCCUCUCGAGCGAGACGCUCCGACUGCCAACACAAGAACCCGGACUUCAAUGGGGUUGAUUUUCAGGCUGGGAUGCUUCGGAUGGCGUGAAGAAAAGCAAAGGACGAAGGUGUGCGGCCUCACCGCAACAAUGACAAAUAAAUCAUACCUGGAAAGUACACGAAAGAGCACUUACGGCCGAGACGUACAGCAAGUGCCUCUCGAUCUGUAGCCGCUCGGCUGCUUCUUGAGCCCAACACGACAUCAUGUCAUGCAACACACAGACGGGGAAAGCAGCGGUCGGCACGCCCCUCAAGAGCUGUGCGUUUGGGGAACUGAUAUCUGUAAUCAGCUCCAUCAGCAGCUUGACAGUUUUCUCUCUUUCAGCUUGCGUAUUUCGUUCCGCGAGAAGCUCGUGGGACGUGAGGUGCUUCGAGGCGUCUCCGAGCUCCAAGAACCUGAGAUGAUAGCUUGAAUGUGGGCUCCCAUCGCCGCGAACUAUCAGCUUGGAGAAGUGGCUGUCGGAGGCUACGAAGGUGACGGUGAUUCCUUCAGCUGCCAAGCUACUGGCAAACUGGAGGAAAGGGAUGAAAUGCCCCGCCGGGUCAAUAGGCACCAUGACGACGUGGGGGGAACCAUGUGACCCCAUAUCCUAAGAACACUCAGCUAGCAGAAACCUCCGAUGCUGGGCCGUGCCGGCAUGAACGAAACGAAAAUGUGCCCUACUUCGGAGGAACGCAACUCUUGUAUCCAAGUUGACGCUGGAUGGUGAGGAUAGGGAAGUGGGGGAUGGCAUGCCCAGCCACAAGGCGUAGGUUGGCGGUGACGUUGCCCUUCUUCAGAUCAAGCUGUGACGCGAGAUCGUCAGGUGGGCCACAUGCCAUUUGAAGGCCGAACUUAGUACGCGAGUUUUCCCGACACCUGCAAAUCGCACAUCAUGCAGGAGGUGGUGGGAAGUAGUGAAGUGGACGUUGAAACGGCCUCGGCGUCUCGGCUCGUGAAAAGUCGAUGUCGACGGAAACGCGCACCUGAGGAAGAACAGCUGCUAGCGCAAGAAUUAUUUUCUCUGAUGGUUUCCAACUACUGUCCAGGCUUGGUCGUGACGCUCAUGGCUUGGUCCUGCCAGCUCCAUCGCAGAGCUGUUUACUUUAAAUUGAUGGUGAUCCAAGGGUGACCAGAGUUGUUCAGUUAUACUGUUACGAGGGUGGCUCACCUGAAUAUUGUGUGCUGUUGUGUGCUAUUGAAGUACUUCAUGAACUGUAAUUCAUAUAUUUGCAUGAACUGUACCAUUUUAUUUAUUUAUUUAUUUAUUUAUUUUUAUUACUUUUAUGAAGAUUUUUUUUGUUUAUACAUAAAAACAAAGUAUGUCUAUUUUUAAUGAUUGAUUAGUUUCUUGAUUCUCAUAAAGCGGACUAAAACCAAUAAUUUGUGAAUUAGCUUGAAAUACAAAUACAAACAGACUUAUGUACAUUUUAUUAGUUUACUUCUAUCAUAUAGCAACUUCAAGUUAUGCAAAACAUUUUUUUGUUUUGUAGUAAGUUGGUUUACCCCUAACUAAUGCUUCCACCAAGUUUUAGAAAUUGUUAUAUUAUAAUUAUCUUUCACAUACCACCUAUGUGUAUAAUGAGUGUGUAACAUUUUAUUUUAUUUUAUUUUUAUUUUUUUUAAAAUUCAAUCCAUUGUAAGAUUUUAACUUUCCAACUCUAUUGACUUGUUUCCCUAAAUGUGGUGGUUUUUAAGAGUAGGGUACUUCUCAAAACCUAAGUCAAAACUAUAAAUUAUUUAGUUGAAAAUAAUAUGUAUAUAUAUAUAUAUAUAUAUAUAUAUAUAUUAUUAAAGAAUUAAUUCGUAGAUCAUAGCUUUUAAUAUAAAAGAAGUUUUUAUAAUUCCAAACAAGAAUACUUUCUAUUGAAUGAAGUAGUUAGUAUUUUUGGAUUUGUUAAACUGUAAAAUUAAGUAAGAAAUGCUAAUUGCCUUUGGUGAGAUAAUUUAACUAGAUAAUUUUAAACAAAGAAUCAAAUCUAUUCAUCUGGUUGAAUUUUAUUUAUUUAAGAUAUUAGCUAUUAUUUUUUAUUUAGUUUUUUUGGCAUUUGGAAUUAUUUUUUAUUGUUGAUGAUUCUUCUUAAAUGGAAAACAUCUUAAUAAAUUAUAUUCUAAAUAUACAUUUAAAUCUGCAUCUUUUUAUUAUUUAAAAAUUUAAAAUUACUGAAUAUAAUAAAUUACUUAUAUGAUAUUUUUUAAUAUAUAUAUAUAUGUUUUUCGCAAAGAUUAUAUGUUUGAAUAUUAGAAAAUAGAAAAAAAUAUAAUUUUUUUAAAGCUACAAACAUGAAUUCUUUUAAAAAACAUAUUAAAGGUUUAUAUGCUUGGAUAAAUUUAGCUUCAAAAUUAUACAAAUAAAUUAAACAUAUAUAGAAAUCAAGUAUUAGAACAAUAUUUGUAAUGUAUCAUUAACUGUUACUAAGACAAUUGGAUAACUCUCUUGCUACUAGUAAAUUUUUUAUAGGAUGUUGCUAGUGCCAUCACAAUUUUUUUUAAUACCACCUCAAUUUGCCCUAUACUUGGAUUAUACACCACAUUGCAAUUUACUAGAUGAGAGUAAUUAAAAGCUUAACAUCUGAAAAUUUUGGAUCAUAUGCAAAAUUACAUUCUUUUUUUUAACCAAAUUUUAUUAUUGGAAGUAUUUGUAAGUUUUACGUCUAUUAAAUUUAUUUAUUCUUGAAAAUAUAUAAGCUAAUAGUUUCAACUUGAUUGGUUAGAUUGAUUUAAUUUAAUACAAUUAACUUAAUUAACUAACUUAAUUCUAUAAAAUUACAAAGUUUUUAAAUUUAUUAAAAGAAGUAAAUAUUAUAAUUGAUAAUUUUAUUUAAAAACUCUUUAUUUAUAUAUAAUAGAAAUUCUAUAUUAAGCAUAUCAUUAAUAUUUUUAUUUUUAUUUUUUCAGAUGGAUAAAUGUUAAUUAGAAAUUUAAUUUAAUGAAGAAAAAUCAAGCAAGGACUUGAGUUAAUUGAGUCAAGUUAGCUAAUUAAAUUAACCUAUAUGAAUCACAUUAAUUCCAUGGUUGAGUCAAUCCAAUUAAUCAAAUCAAAGUUGAUAAUAAAUGAAAUAAGAUAUCAAGAAUAAGAUAGGCCUUAAAAUAAGAAUUUUUUGAUAUUAGAGAAGUAUUAGAAAAUAAAUAGAGAAGAAAAAAUAGAAAAAAAUUAAAAGAAAAGAAAUUAAGUAAGAAGUGGCAAUAUGAUUAUUAUAUUUCAACAAUUUAAAAGGUUGCUCCAAGAAGAUGAAGUCAAUGGAUGUUAUAAAAAUUCUAUAUAGUGUUCUUGAAACAAAUUAAUUAAAAAAUUUAAAUUUAAAUUUAUAAAAAAUAAUAAAAGAUAUUAGUUUAAGUAUAGGUAGUCUUAAUAGUUAAAAAAGGUAAAAAAAAGAUUUUAUGCUAUUAUUAGAAAAAUCAAUAUAUUAUAAUUUUGUUAAUAGUUUAAUUUGAUAUUUUAAAAUUAUAAAGAUUUUUAUUGUUUAAUUUAAAUUUAUUAUAAUGUUAGACAACAAAAAGAGUUGAAUAUCUUAAUACUUGAAUGAAUCAACAAUUUAUAUCAUAUAAAUAAAUAUAAGACCUUUAAUAAUUUUUACAAGAAGAAAUAUCAUAUCAUAUAUAUAUAUAUAUAUAUAUAUAUAUAUCCUUAAAAUAUAUUAUGAUAUUAUGAAUAUUCUUAUAUUCUUAAUAAUAGCAAAUAUACCUCUAAAUUUUUUGAUAAUAUUAAAUAUAUCCUUAAUUAUGAUACAAUAUCUCCAAUCUGAUAAAUGUACAAUUGUUUUUAUGGAUUUUAUUUUAUUUUAUUUUAUUUAUAUAUAUAUAUAUAUUUUUUAUAUUCUUGGGCAACUCAAGCUUACUUUCUUGAAGCCUCUUUGCUAUUCGUUCUUUGUCCCUGCAAUGCUUAGAUUCAUCCCCAUAGCACUCACAACCUACUCACUAUCUUAUCUCAUAGCACACUUAGUUUGAUUCCAAUGUACCUUUGAUGUUAUUUGCACAAUUUGGUGAUGUGUGUAUGUACAUGUACUAAUGAUACACACAUGUAUGUACUUCUAAUAUAGUUGAUACAUUGGAUUAGUAGCAUUGGAAUUGUAAAGAGAAGGUAGUGGAAAAAAUUGCUCUUGUAUAGAUUGAUAGUUUGUUUCUAGCUUACUUAACUUCUCUAGGAUUGAUAUUGGAGAGUAUUCUUUUGAUAUGUAUGCCUUCAUUGGCUGUAUAAAUUGAUGUGUAUACUUUCACCUUCAACUUAUAGAUUGCUCUUAAGAUGUAUUUAUUGCAGUAAGAAAUACACUUUGAAAUGUUGUUAAGCAUGAAAUAGAAAUUACAAUUUUUUCAUGAGUGGAUAUUAGACUAAACAAGGUAUUUACAAAUGUCUUCUAGUUAUUAGACAUCUAUAUUAUUUUAGUGGCAAUUUCCAUCAACAUAGAUUGGUAUUGACAAAGUUGUUUUGGAAGUAGCCAAUAUGAACUUACUAAAAGCAAAAAAUUGCAAGCUUUGUGCAAUCUUGUUGAUCUAGGGGUGAUUCUAGGUAGAAAAUAACCAUGGUUUAAUCCUAGUCAAAUUGAAAUAGGCGAUGUGUAAUUUUUUGCCAACACUCUCUAUUAUAUCAGUCAUUAUGUGGAAUAUCCCUUGCAUAUCACACAAUGUUUUUUUUUCUCUUUUGAGUACCUACUUUUAAUUGUAAUUAUGUCACUAUAUGAUGUUAUUAUAAAAAUAUCCAUCUCAAAGUUAUUGUGUUUUAUAUUGUAAGCUUUAUUAGAGAUUUUUCAGUGUUGCAUUGUGUUUUGGAUUGAUUUUGUCAAAAGAGUGUUCAAAGACAAAUUGUUUAAAGAUGAAUUGAUUGAUUCAUUGCUUUUUGGUCUCUUUGAUGUUAUGAUAUGUGAGAUUAUAUGGCCAAAGGUCAGUAGCAAAAAUAACUUGAUUUUGUUACUUUAAUUGAGGCCUGUAAGCAAAAGGUGGAGGAUCGAGGUUGAAGCGACUCUUAAAUGGCGUACGAUAAUUUUAUGCAAAUAGACACAUCUAAUUAUAUUUGCCACACUCACAAGAAUAGAUUUAAAGUUGCACCUAUGUAUUUGAGUUAUAACCUAAAUGAUUGUUGGCUAUCUUCAAGUUGUUUUGUUUUAUAGUUGUGGACAAGGUGAACACAUAAUCAUUGAGUUCAAUUGGUGGUCUUUUAAUACGUGUUGAAUUUUUGAUUUAUUCAUGUUCUAGUAGUUGUUAAUCGUAAUUAUGUAGACCAAUAGAUAAUGUUUUAUUUAUUUAUUUAUUUAUUUAUUUAUUUUAUUUGUAUGAUGUUAUCAUCUAUUAUUUAUUAUAAGAAAAGAAGUGUUGAUUUUCUUCAUGUUGGUAGACUUUCAAUAGAUUAAAACUUAUUCCUUUUUAGUUUAUUGUUGUCAUUUCCCAACUCAAGGAAGAUGACAAUGUAUUCUUCAAUGACAAUAUAGACAUUAAGUAUUUGGUAAUGGCCAUUUCAAAUCCUUUGAAAUAGACAUCUUUGGCAACAAUUUUUAUUUUAUUUUAUGAUAUUAUAGACUAAAUAUAUUUUUAAAGCCAUGUCAUAUUUUGUCAUCAUACAUGGGAUUGGAGAUUACUCUACCUUUGUUCUUUUGUCUUUUUGUAUAAAAGAAUAGGCUAUAAAGGUGAACAUUGUUUGAUGCUUGAAAUUAAUUGUCUUAUCUAUGUAUUUUUAGAGUGCAAGAAUAUUUUUGUUGAAUCUUGGUGUAUUAAUAUUGAUGAAAUAUAUUAUAAUAUAAAUUACUUUUGACUACAUUAUAAAUCAAGUAGUAGAAGAAUGUUUGUAAUGUAUCAUUAACAAAGGCUGAAGUGCUAUUGGAAGUUUCUAUACAAAUUUCACUCUAAUUUCAAAAAAUUAUAACUCUCUCUUUAUAACUCCAAUUCACCUAUUUCUUCCACCUAAAUUCUUAUCCAAAAAACAAAAAUUUUGAAUCCAACCUUCAAACUUUAACUACCUUGCCUUUCUUUGAAUGGUCUACCUUGCCUUGAAUAGCUUGCCCUAUAGUGGUUCCAAAUUCUAGUGUGGUUUGAGAUAACAUUUUAAAGCCCAUUAGGCAUGACUUUCAAUUAAUAGAAAUGAAGUUUUUUGUCACUCAUCUUAUCUAUCCACAUAGAAUUGUCUAGAAGUCAAAAUAUUAUACUUUUGACUUCAAAGGCCUUUUAAACUUCUUUCUAAUAAAUCCUACAACUUCUAUCUUUAAUUGCAAAACUUAUAUUACAAACUUAAAUAAAUUAGAAAAAAUAAUUUAUUAUAUUUAUUAUAUUUUUAUUUUUAUUCUAUUUUAUUUUUAAUUACAUUUCAAACUUUCAUAACAUUUCACAUUAUUUUUACAUUAUAUUUCACAUUUUUUAAAAAUUGGAGCUCUAGAUUCAGCAGCUUGAAAGAUUAUUACCUAAAGAUUAAGAUAUUGCAUUAGAGAUGUAAAGUCCAACACAAGAUAACCAUGAAGGUCGUAUGUUCAUUUUCAUUAUCUGAGAUGGCUCCCAGGAUCUGUAGUAUUAUUGCGAAAUCUGAAUGUUCUCAUCAAUAGGACUGGUGAAUGUGGAACAGAUACUUGUGAAGUUGCGGGCGCAAGGCUUAGGCUUCCCAGAACGGGAACCAGUAAGUGUCUCUAGAGAUCAGAUGUAUCUCUCGUUACUGAAGAUGGAAUUUGUGGUUCGUGAAGAGCUUCUAACAAGUAGUUCUAGCUGCACCGUUGCCGUGUUGGAAACAUCUUAUGUUAUAUUAUAUGUGAUCAAACAUUACACAUUAUAAUGUGUAUACAAGAGUGUCAUCUGUAGUCACAACUCUUGGUGUAGAGUCACAACUAAUAGAUUGUAUACUAUAAUGCAAGAUUAAUACACUAAACUGUAUAAUACUCCCAAUAUGCAGCCAAUUGACGCAGAUACGCACUAGGCAAUGAUGGCCCAUUAUUUCAAGCAGCAAGAACAGCUGAAGGUAAGCCUGCUCAGAAAUCUAACAUUUAAGCAAAUUGUGAAAUUCUUUGCAAGCAGUUGUGCCUCGUCCAUCACCAUUUCGCUGCGACGAGAACCUGAGGCACGAUUACGAUGUCUUGAUGCUCGUGGCAGCGAAUGGCUGAGGACGAGGAUGAUGCGUACAUGAACGCCCAGUGGGCUAAUCCUAACUCUCUCAAGUCGCAGUUACAAGGCAUGGCCGCGAAAAUGCAGAACAAAUAAAGUCUUCAAUUGCAGAAGUGAUGCAUCUGCCAGUUGUGUAAGCAACUGGAUGCAGUGUAGAACAAUGUGACCUGCUUCUGGAGCUUUCCUUUGAGAUCAUCACAACCGACAAGAGCACGUUGCAUGACAGAAGUCAUCACGCAGGAAACACAGGUUUGAGGCAUUCCUACUACUCCGAGGAAGUAACGUGUGCUGAUAGUGACCACAUUGAACUACUACUCUGCCAUUCUGCUUGUUCGCCAAGUAAAAUAUGAGUAAUCGUUUGCCCUGCUGAAUGACUCUCAUCAGCUUAAUCCUCACAGAACGUCUAUCUUGAAGUUCAGCCAGCGUUUGUUCGAUGUUUUUCCUUGCCCACCCCGUCUCAAAAGCCAGAGAACCAUACUCACAUAGCUUGAACCUCCUCGCUUUUACAAACCUGGUCAUCGCUUGAUACUAAUCAAAUAGUGGAGUUCACCAUUGUUUCCGCAGGUGAUGUCAAAGAUGUUGAAGUGAGAGCGGAAGGUGAUCUCAUACCCGCAACAUGUAAUUGCACUGGUUGUCCUAUGGAAGCCAUACUCUACGGAUCCCAAAUACGUACAAGCUACAAUUCAUAAUCGUGCUUAGAACUCAAGAUUAUACAUGUGAAGGAAUAUGAACUUGCGCUUGCAGAAAUGACGGCAAUCCUUUGAAUCAUUUUUCAAAGGCAAGAUUCUUGAUGGACAUUAAGGUCAACUCCACCACUGAAGAGGAAGUUGCUUGUUGCUAUUAAGGCGUGUACCAUCCAGCCUUCGUGUGCAACUUUUACUUCAGCCUUCAUUUGCACAAUUGACUUGCACCACACGUGUAAAAUAGAACAAUUGGAUCCAUAUGGAAUCAUCAUAUAUUGAAACUGCAUAUUAAGUUGAGGUGUCCAACCUCUUGGAUGAAUUGAUCGAGUGUAAUGUUACUAGAGUGAACGGUUGUGUUUGUAUUGCACAAGAUUUGGAUAAUAUUUGGAGAUUUGUAAAACAUAGAAGAUUUGGGUGAAGGGUGAUGUUUAUGUGGUUGAUUGGAUAGGAUGGAUACUUAAGUUAGUUUAUUAAGAGAAUAAGGCUUGAUAUGGUUGUGAUGUUGAGAUAUAUAUAUAUAUAUAUAUGUUUUUGUUUAUGAGUUGGUUUAAAUUGUAAUCAUGUUAUUGGUAUAACAAGUGAUAAAAUAAAUACCAUGAAUUAGAAAAAAAUAGAAUAUAAAUUAGUUUGUAUAAAAUAUGUUGAAGGAUUGAAAUGUAAAUGAGUUGCAUUAAUAUUUAUAUUUUUUGUAUAAAGGUCUUGUAGUAAUCAAAUUAGAUUUCAAGAAUAUAUGGUUAUUUGAAUAAGUAAAUGGAAUAUAUUUAAGAAUCAAAUGUUACUUAUUUUGUCAGGUAUAAACAUCAAUUAUUGAGAUUUUGUCUAAAUGAUGAGACAUUUGAAAUGAAUAUUUAUAUAUUAUUUUAUUUCUAUAUAUGAAUAAUUAUUAGUUAUAAAUUAUUGAGAGAUAAUAAAAAUUUAUUAAAAGAAUCAUAAUUAUAAGUAGAGAUUUGUUUUUCUACGUUUACUUGUGAAUUAUAUUAAGAAAUUUAUUUGCUAUACUCAAGACUCUUUUCAGUGAUUAAUUUUUAUUAAAAUAUUAUAAAAUAUUUAAUAAGUUUGUAUUCAUGUAAUUGUAGGCAAGUUACAUAUGUAAUUCAACUAUUUAUCAUGAUCUCUCUUGUAAUUUUUUUUUGUUAAAAAUUUGUAAAAAAUUGACAACAUUGAAGAAAAAAUACUUAGUGGAAAUUGAUAUAGCCAAAAUACCAUAUUUUGGAACAUUUAAGAACAAAGAUCAUAAAAAGAGGAUAACAAAAGACGUUGAUGCUGAUAUUCCAUUGAUAAGUUUUAUAUUAGUAAUUUUGUUUGAUGUAUACAUUGAGUUGAUUUGUAUGAUUUUAAGGUCUUUAUGUUCAAAUAUGUAUUUUUUUUAAUAAUGUUAUAUUGUUAAAUUAUGAAUAUAAAAUCAUAUUAUUGUAUUAGAAACUAUGGUACAAAUUGUAACUUUUAUUAACUUGAUGAUUUGAUUAUUUAAAUAGGGACAUGAUUAUAAAAAAGAAAUUAAUGGAUGUAAAAGAACAUUUGUCAAACAUUAAAGAACUAUGCAAAGGAAGAAUAAAUACAUUAUGUUUUAUUGAUAUGGAUGGAAUAGAAAAGACUAUAUUAGCAAAAGCUACAUUUGAUAAUAUGCAACAUAUGUAUGAUGUAUUAUGCUUUGUUGAAAGUAUUCAAAAUAAAGAUUACGGUUUUUUAAUAAUUUGCAAAGUUUUGAACCAAUUGAAUUUUUAAUUGAAACCAAAGGAUUUGGAAGAAGCUCAAGAAAUAAUGAAAGAAUUAUUGAUGAGCAAAAAUUUCAUGCUAAUAUUAAAUGAUGUGAGGAACAAAAGUCAUAUUAAUAAUAUAAUACUUAUAGAUGUUUUAUAUUCUAAUAAAGGUAGCAUAUUAAUUGUGACAAUCCAAAAUUAUUAGGUACUAAAACACUAUUCUAAUAAAGUAGCAUAUUAAUUGUGACAAUCCAAAAUUAUUAGGUACUAAAACACUAUUCUACAAAGAUUGAUAAAUAUGAUGUUGAAGGACUUGACUAAGAUGCAAUUUUGAAUUUGUUUACAACUUAUUCUUAUAGAGAUGAUGACAUAUUAUCUAAAGAACUUAUUGAGGUUGGCAAACAAAUUGUAAGAUCUUAUAAUGGACUGACUUUAAAUUUGAAAGUUGUAGGCUCAUUUUAAAGAGGACAAAAGAAGUUGACAUGUUGAAAAAGAGCUUUGCAAAAGUUAAAGAGAAGAAGAAAUUUGGAUGGAGAUGAAGAUAGUAAUUAUAAGCUAUGGUCUAUUUUGAAGAUAAGUUUUGAUACUUUAAAAAUUGAAGAAAAGAAUAUUUUUUUGGACAUAUUAUGUUUAUCUUGGUAAUAAUGUGGAUUGAGGUAGUAUAAUGAAAGAAAAUAUAUUACAAAUAUGGACCAAUAAAAAGAAUAUAAUUAAAAAAGCAAGAUGCAAGUAUAGAUUUGGAUAUGUUGAUGCAUCAAUCUAUAAUAAAAAUAAAAAAAUAUGGAAUAAUAAAAAAGCAUGAUUAAUUAUAAGAUACAAAUAAAAAUAUUGUUAAAAAUAAAAAGAAUAAAAAGAUGUAAAAAUUUGGAAUAUCAAUAUAGUACUAGUAAAUAGAUUAAUAAUAAAAGAAAUAAUUUUAAAUAAUGAUAUAAUAAUUGAAAUAAAAUCAUAAAUAAAAAAUUAAUAAAGAAAUAAAAUAAAAUAAAGUAUAAAAUAAUUUAAUAUAUCUCAAGAUUAAUUUUAUAUUUUGUAUGUAUUGCAAUGUAAAAUACUUUGAGAUUCGUAUAUAUUUGAAGUGUUUAAUAAUAUUAUAGAUUAUAAUUUCUAAUUAUAUUUUUCUUCUAUUAUUUAUUGAUUGAAAGGUAUUAUACUUGGUAAUAAUAUAAAGAAUAACUUGAAACGGUUUAUUAUAAAAGAAUUAUACUUCUACUCUCUAUAAAUACCUAUAUGUAAUAUUGAUAGAAAUUCAAGUAAAGAAAUGUUUAAAAUAUUUAUUUAUUUAGUAAAAAAUGCUAAAAAAAUUAAAGAUUUUAUUUCUAAAAAAUUAUAAUGAUUUAUUUACUUGUAUCUAUGAAAAUAUAAAGAUACCAUCUAAAAUAUACAACAAAGACUUUUAAAAAUUAUUUGAAGAAUUGACAAUAUUGAUUAUAAUAGGAUUUCAAUUAGGUGAAAUACUUUCAAUAUCACUAUUUAUAAAUAAUAUAUUAUUAAGACUUCAUUUAUAUCAUUCCUAUAAAUAUAAAAUAUUACAUAAAGCCAUAAAAAAUCUAAAAUAUUUUAAAAAAACUUCUUCUUUGAAAAUACUUUAUUAGAAAGCUUGUUCAAGCUUGAGAAAUUUGCCAAAUGAAUUGGUAAAUAUUUCUUUUUUGAUAACACUUGAUUUAAAUAAUUACUUAAGCUUGAUAAAAUUAUUAAAUAAAUUGACAAAUCUUUCUAUAAUAUAUUUAAAUUUGAGUGGUUGAUUAAGCUUAAUAAGCUGGUUAAAUGAAUUAAAAAAUCUUUUGUCAUUGACAACACAUAGUUUGAGAAAUUUCUCAAGUUCGAAAAGCUUACUAAAUGAAUUAAAAAAUCUUUCUUCUAUCAUUACAAUAAUUUGAGUAAUUUUUUUAAAUUAAAAAGCUUAUUAAAUGAACUGACAAAUCUUUUCUUUUAACACAUUUAAAUUUAGGUGGUUUAUUAAGCUUGAUAAGCUUACCAAAUGAAUUAGCUAAUCUUUUUUUCUUUGAAAAGACUUAAAAUAGAUAAUUAUCUAAGCUUGAUAAGUAUACUAAAUAAAUUAGCAAAUCAUUCUUCUUUCAUAAGAUUAGAUUUGGAAAAAAAUUUAAGCUUAAAAAGCUUAUCAAAUUAAUUGAUAAAUCUUUCUUCUUUGAUAAUAUCUAAUUUGAAAAGUUGCUCAAGCUUGAUAUGCUUGCCAAAUGAAUUAGCAAAUCACUCUUCUUUGAUAAUAUUUUAUUUGAAUAAUUUCUUAAGUUUCACAAGCUUGCAAAACAAAGUGAAAAAACUUUCUUCUUUGACAAAAAUUCAUUUAAGCAAUUAUUUAAGCUUGAUAAACUUAUCAAAUGAAUUGACAAAUCUUUCUUCUUUGACAAUAAGUAUUUUUAGAUUUUUUUUUAAUUUGAUAAGAUAAAUAAAUGAAUUGGCAAAUCUUUCUUCUUUGAUAACAAUUUAUUUGAGUAAUUUCUUAAGCUUGAGAAGCUUGCCAAAUGAAAUUGAAAAUCUUUCUUCUUUAAUAAUAAUUCAUUUAAGAAGUUGUUCAAGCUUGAAAAGCUUAUCAAAGGAAUUAAAAAAUCUUUCUAUUUUGAUAUAUUUAAAUUGAAAAAUCAUUCUUUUUUUAUUAGAUUAAAUUUAGAUAAUUUUUUAAAUUUUAAAAGCUUACUAAAUGAAUUGAUAUAUCAUUCUUCUUUAAUAAGACUUCAUUUGAAAAAUUGCUCAAGCUUGAAAAACUUGCCAAAUAAAUUAGAAAAUCAUGCUUCUUUGAUAAUACUUGAUUUGAGUAAUUUCUUAACCUUCACAAAUUUAUGAAAGGAAGUAGUAAAUCUUUCUUCUUUGACAACAAUUCAUUUGAAUAAUUUCUUAAGUUUGAUAAGUUUACUAAAUGAAUUGGCAUAUCAUUAUUUUUUAAUAAGAUUUGAUUUGAAAUAUUGCUUAAGCUUGACAAGCUUACGAAAUGAAUUGACAAAUCAUUCUUCUUUGAAACUAAUUAAUUUGAGUAAUUUUUUAAGCUUUAUAAGGUUGAAAAAUGAUGUAAAAAAUCUUUCUUCAUUAAAAAAAUUAUAAUUAAGAAGUUGAUCAAGCUUGAUAAGCUUGCUAAAUGAAUUAGCAAAUCUAUCUUCUAUCAUAAAAAUUUAUUUGAAUAAUUGCUUAAGCUUGAUAAGCUUAUCAAAUAAAUUAGCAAAUCUUUUUUCUAUCAUAACAAUGAUUUGAGUAAUUGCUUAAAUUUGACAAGCUUACUAAAUAAAUUGGAAAAUCUUUCUUUUUUAGUAAUAAUUUAUUUGAUAGGUUGCUUAAGCUUUAUGAGCUUACCAAAUAAAUUGGCAAAUAUUUUUUCUUUGAUAAUAAUUUAUUUGAAUAAUUUUUGAAGCUUCACAAGCUUUCUAAAUAAAUUGACAAAUAUUUCUUCUUUAACAUAUUUAAAUUAAAGAGGUUUGUCAAGCUUGAAAAGCUUAUCAAAUAAAUUAGAAAAUAUUUCUUUUUUGAAGAGACUUGAUCUGGAUAAUUAUCCAACCUUGACAAGCAUUUCAAAUGAAUUGGAAAAUCUUUCUUCUAUGAUAAAAUUAGAUUUGGAUAAUUUUUCAAGCUUAAAAAUUUUACUAAAUGAAUUGACAUAUCAUUCAUUUUUUAUAAGACUUGAUUUAAAAGAUUACUCUAUUCAGGCUUGAUAAGGUUGCUAACUAAAUUGAUAAAUCUUUCUUCUUUAAUAAUACUUGAUUUGAAGAAUUUCUUAAGCUUUACAAGCUUUCAAAAUGAAGUGACAAAUCUUUCUUCUUUAAAAAUAUUAUAUUUAGAUAAUUAUUAAAAAAAUUUAAGCUUAUCAAAUGAUUUGGCAAUACUUUUAUUUUUAAUAAUACUUAAUUUGAGUAGUUGCUCAAGCUUAAUAAGUUUGCUUAAUAAAUUAAAAAAAUCUUUAUUUUUUAUCAAUAUUUAUUUAAGUAAUUGUUUAAAUUUAAGAAGCUUACCAAAUAAAUUGACAAAUCUUCUUUCUUUGACAUGGCUAGAUUUAAGUGGUUGUUUAAAUUUGAUAAGAUUUUCAAACUAAUUGAAAAAUCUUUUUUCUUUAAUAAUAAUUGAUUUGAGUGGUUUCUUAAGCUUAAUAAGUUUGCCAAAUAAAUUGGCAUAUCUUUCUUCAUUGAUAAUAUUUGAUUUAAGUAAUUGCUCAAAUCUUACAAACUUGCCAACUGUAACAUUUAGAUCAUCAAGCAAUUUAGCACCAAACUUGAUUGGUUGUAUCCAAAGAUUUAUAGCAAGAAUUGAAGCUCUUGCAACAUCUAACAUAUUUAAUUAUAUUUGAUUUAUAGCAUAUUAACUUAAUCUUAUCUCAUAACAAGUAAUUGUAGAUAUCACUAAAGUGGAUGGAUUUAAUUUUAUAGCAACUUUUUUGAGAAUAAUUGAUUGAUUAUAAUGUUAAAAAACUUUGAUCCAUUGCAUAAAAUCUAAAUGACUAUAUUAUAUUAAUACUUAUUGGACUUUACUAAAUAAAUUAAUACUUAAUGAUUUGUAGUUUAUGCAAUCACAUUCUAUUUUAAUAUUAUUAUGAUGAUGUUCAUCAUAUUCUAAGUUAAUACAAUUAUUGACAAAAAAUACUAAUGAUGGAUAAAAAAUAAAUCAAAUCACUUUUUAACUUGUCAUUUAUAUUUAUUUAUAGACGAAUAAAUUAAUUUUUUCUAAUAAAAGAAUCAUAUGAUAUAUCAAAUUAAUAAAAAAACUUUAAAAUAUAAUAUUUUCACGGCCAUAAUCAUGUAAGCUAAUAAUUACAUAUAGAAAUAGGUAGAAGUAAGUAAAAGUAGAUAAAAGUAAGUUAAUUCUAUAAUAUUUAAUAUAGAAGCUUCCUAGAAACUUUCUAGACGCUGCUUUGACUUCAUAGGUGUCUUUAAUUGACUUUUUGGAUUAGAAACGUGGUCAACAAGUUGGCCAUGUGCCACACAUGUUGUUAGCUUGAAGAUCAAGCUAACUAUGUGGCCCACACGUAGAAAAACUUACCUUGUAAGUCAAGGCAUGUGUCCUACAAAGUCAACACAUAUUAGAGGUCCUAUAGAACGUCGCCACGUAGCCCCUAGUUAGAUAGUAUAUAUAGAGACAAGAGUGAAGGCUUCUUCACUCUUGUCAACUCUUUUCUUGCUUCUAGUCCAGGUUCAAGAGUCUUUAGUUUCUUGUCUUGUGGCAAUAGCCAUUCCAGUUUCCUUUUAAUAUACCUACUUGUUCAUAUUUUGACUUAUUAUAUCGAGAUAGCCUUUUGGUGUAUAUUUUCCCUCAUCAAGUCUUUGUCCUUGACAGAUUGACAAGAGUACACUUACAAUAUCAGAGCUUUGUUUUUUCUUGAGUAAGAGUGGAUUACCCCUUUCUCUUGACAAGGCAUAAGCGUAUUAGAAGUUUGCGGAUUACCCACUUCUAAACUGAUAUUGUUCUUAGUAUCUUCUUUGUUAUCAAGUCUUUCUUUUCUUUUGUCUUGAGCAGUAUCAAACAAAUUUUUCUUCUUAGUGUCAUUAUGGCAGAGCUUGUUGAAAUGAAGAGUGCAAUGGCACAAAUGCAAGAGCAAAUGAGGGAGUUAAUGCUUGCGAUGCAUCAACUCAAUUCACCAACACAGGAAAAAAUAAGAAUAGCAGAAAGUGGGGAUAUAGAGAUGAUCGGAGCUGCUUCAACAUCUACAACAAAUCACGUUCCUUCUCCAAUUGUACAACACCCUAUAAGCACUAGAGAACCAAGAAUUGCCUUACCUGAGAAAUUUGAUGGUACGAGAUCAAAGUUUCGAGGGUUCAUCAAUCAAGUACAAUUGGCAAUUGAACUUCAACCGCAAAGCUAUCCAACUCCAGGAUCACAAGUUAGGUUUAUUGGCACUCUACUUUCUAGUUCUGCAUUAUCGUGGUUUUCGUCUUUUCUUGAACAACGAAAUCCAAUAUUGGACAAUUUGGAAGCUUUUUUGGCGGAGUUUCGAUCUAUGUAUGGUGAACACGAUGCAACUCGUGUUGCAACAAAUAAGAUUCGAAUUCUGCGACAAGAAAAUCGCUCAGUACCAGUAUAUGCUUCACAAUUUCGACAACUUGCAAUUGACAUCAAGUGGGAUGAUGCUGCACUCAUCAGUCAAUUUCUUUAUGGAUUGCAAUACGAAGUAAAGAAAUUGAUGCUCAACUUACCUGAUCCUCAAACUUUGAGUCAAGCAAUCGAUUUUGCGGUAAAAUGUGAUAAUCGACUUUUCGAAUUUCGAUCCGAGAAUCAUUCACGGGAACCUCAACGUUAUUACUCAAUGGCAACAUCAACAUCUUUGCCAAACGUACAUUCAGAAGUAGAAGACAUGCAAAUUGACGCGUUACAUUUUAAACCCCUAACUGAGCAAGAAAAGAUUUAUCGUCGUCAAGAAGGAUUAUGUUUAUAUUGCGGAGAACCUAAGCUCACUGCUCAACAUUGUCCAAAGAAACGACGCAACUAUAAAAUGAGGGGUACGACAGUCAAAGAAGACAACAUGUCGGAAAACGGAUUCAUCCAGCUAUAAUAGGGACCGUGCAGCUGGAACCUUGUACAAUUCCUAAUGAAGGUCCUAUCCUCUCCUCAAAACCCUCUCCUUGAUUUAUAAUAGACUUAUAUUUAGGACCUAAGAAUUACAAAGCCUCUGCUUUAUUAGAUUCGGGAGCCUCAGCAUGUUUUUUAGAUGAACAAUUUGUUAAAAGUCGUAAAAUACCCUUUGUACAGAAACCUAAACCAGUACAUGUAGAAGUCAUAGAUAGUCGUCCCUUGUCUUCUGGAGAUGUCACUCAUGAAACUCAUCCUAUAAAAGUAACAAUAGACGGUCAUGAUAGCUACAUAGCUUUUAACAUAAUUAAAUCCCCGUCCAAUCCAGUUAUUUUAGGUUUAUCCUGGCUAGAAAAAUAUAACCCUCGAAUAGAUUGGAAUUCGCGUAAACUUGACUUUUCCCAAAGCGUUAUUAAUAGUUCUACCAACCAAGUAAAAAAUUAUAAGUCUAAUAUAGUAAAACCCGUACUGAUAGGUGCAAAAGCAUUUAUAUACACAGCAAAAGAAGGAUCAACUUUUGCUAUUUAUGCUGCACCUAUUUCUGAAAACGUAAAGACUUCAAGUGGCAUUCCAAGUCAAUAUCAGGAGUAUCAAGACGUUUUUGAGAAAAAGAAUGCAGAUAUUCUUCCUGAGCAUCGCCCAUAUGAUUGUUCAAUCGACCUCAAGGAAGGAACUCAGCCACCAUUUGGACCAAUUUACAGUUUAUCGCAAGAUGAGAUGGCUGAACUCAAGACAUAUAUUGACGAGAAUUUAGCGAAGAAUUUCAUACGCCAUUCAAAAUCUCCAAUAGGAGCUCCAAUUCUAUUCGUAAAGAAAAAAGAUAGAUCUUUACGAAUGUGUGUUGAUUAUCGAGGACUCAACAAGAUCACAAUCAAGAACAGGUAUCCAUUACCUUUGAUAUCAGGACUCCUUGACCAGUUGAAUCAAGCUAAGAUCUAUACAAAAAUAGAUCUAAGAGGAGCAUAUAAUCUAGUACGGAUCAAAGAAGGAGAUGAAUGGAAGACUGCGUUUCUAACUAGGUAUGGACAUUUCGAAUAUAAUGUCAUGCCUUUUGGACUCACGAAUGCACCAGCUACUUUUCAACAUCUCAUGAAUGAUGUAUUUUGUGAAUUCUUAGACAAUUUUGUCGUCUACUAUCUAGACGAUAUCUUGAUCUAUUCUAAGAACGUCGAAGAACAUGAAAUACAUGUUCGUCAAGUAUUACAAAAACUUAGAGAUGCAGGAUUGUACGCCAAGAUGGAAAAGUGUGUAUUUCACACUACUCAAGUUGACUUUUUAGGAUACAUCAUUUCAAAUGAUGGUCUCAUGAUGGAUUCUAAGAAAGUCCAAACAAUCAUGGAUUGGAAGAUUCCAAGGACAGUAAGAGAUGUCCAAUGUUUCUUGGGAUUUGUCAAUUACUAUCGGAUCUUCAUCAAAGAUUUCUCACGAGUUGCAGCUCCACUUACACGCUUGACUAGUAAAGAUAAAUUCCAAUGGAAUCAAGAAGCGGAAGCAGCAUUUGAAGCCUUGAAGACAUCGUUUGUCUCUGCACCAGUCUUAUAUCGUGUUGACUUUUCCAAGGCAUUUUUUAUGGAAACAGAUGCAUCAGAUUUUGCCUUGGGUGCAGUUUUAUCACAAAUGGGAACAGAUGACAAACUUCAUCCGAUAGCUUUUCAUUCAAGAAAAUUCUCAGCAGCCGAGAUCAAUUAUGAGAUCCAUGAUAAAGAACUUCUUGUGAUCGUGGAUUCCUUUCAAGAAUGGCGUCAUUAUCUAGAAGGCGUUUCUAGUCCAGUCACUGUGUAUACAGAUCACAAGAACCUCGAGUAUUUCAUGUCAGCACGCGUGUUGAAUCGUCGUCAAGCUCGUUGGAGUAUGUCUUUGUCAAGAUUCGAGUUCAUUAUCACUUAUCGGCCAGAAAAACAACAAGGUUUGUCUGAUGCCCUAUCUAGACGUUCUUAUUUUGCACCAAAAGAAGGAGAUGCAGCUUUUGAGCAACAAAGAACGGUCUUCUUGAAACCGGAGCAAUUUCAUCUCCGAGCAAUGAAAUCAACAUUGAUUGUUGAUUCAACUUUUCUCAAGCAAAUCCAGUCCAGUAUGUCCUCAGACCCUUUUGUUUAUGAUAUCGAGAAUAAUUCUUCCAAGUCUCAUGAUCCUUCUAAGUUCGAGUUCAAGAAUAAUCUAUUAUAUUUUGAAGGACGCCUAUAUGUUCCAGAAGGAGAAGCACGUUUACGUGUUCUUCAAGCACGUCAUGACUUUCCAGCAGCAGGGCACUUUGGAUAUAAUAAGACUUUGGAACUCAUAUCAAGAGAUUUUUGGUGGCCACAAAUGUGGAAGUCAGUCAAAGAUUUUGUACAAUCAUGUGAUAUUUGUUCAAGAUCAAAAAUUCCUCGUCAUCGACCUUACGGACUUCUUCAGCCAUUACCUAUACCAGAACAACCAUGGUCUUCUGUUUCUAUGGAUUUCAUCACAGAUCUUCCAAGCUCAAGAUCUUAUGAUUCUAUAUUUGUGAUAGUAGAUCGUUUCACCAAGAUGGCACAUUUUGUGCCAUGUAAAAAAUCUAUCACAGGUGAAGAAAUAGCUAAGCUUUUCAUUGAUAAUAUCUAUCGCUAUCAUGGAUUACCUAAAGAUAUCAUAUCAGAUAGGGGAACUCAAUUUGUGUCAAGAUUUUGGAGGACCCUUUUCAAGAUUUUAAAAGUGGACAUAAAGCUAUCUUCGGCUUUCCAUCCUCAAACUGAUGGACAAACAGAGCGCGUAAACCAAGUCUUGGAGCAAUAUUUAAGGUGUACUAUCAACUACCAACAAGAUGAUUGGACAACCCUUCUGCCAUUGGCAGAGUUUGCUUAUAAUAAUACGGUACAUUCUUCCACGCAACAAACACCUUUCUUUGUCAAUUAUGGCUAUCAUCCACGACUUGAUACUUUUGAUUUUUUAAAAGUUGAUAAUCCUGCAGCAGAAGAUAUGGCAAAUCGGUUGUCAGAGUUACAUGCAAUAAUGAAGACGCAAUUGAAGGAAGCUCAAGAACGACAAAAGAUAAACGCAGAUCUAUAUCGUAAGGAGCAACCACAAAUCAACGUGGGUGAUAAGGUAUGGCUAUUUCGUCGCAAUAUCAAGACUACUCGACCUUGUGAUAAAUUGGACUAUCGUAGGCUUGGCCCCUUUUCUGUUUCUGAACAGAUCAACCCAGUUGCAUAUCGGUUACAUCUACCGGAGUCAAUGAAGAUCCAUCCUGUAUUCCACGUGUCUCUUCUUGAACCAUAUAAGACAGUGGAUAUACAAAGAAGAAGACAAAUGCCACCGCCUCCUAUAGAAGUAGAUAAUAAUGAAGAAUUUGAGGUGGAAGAGAUAUUAGACUCAAGGCGGCGCCGAAAUAAGCUGGAAUAUCUUGUUCAUUGGCGCGGAUAUGAUAUUAAUGAACGCACAUGGGAGCCAUCCAGGAAUCUAGGAAAUGCAUCAGCUAAAGUCAAAGUUUUUCAUCAACGACAUCCAUCAAAACCAAGAUGAAAAUCUCUCUUAUAAAAGAGACAAGAUUGAGGCAAGAUAACAUUCAAUUUCCUAUCCUUGUUUGUAACUUCUUUGCAUUUGUGACGCUAAUUAGAUGGAGAGCCAACAACCAGCGAAUUCAACUCAAGAACCUUCGUUUGCUGACCUGCCGGACGAGACAUUACGAUUGUCACAACCUUCAAGAUGACGCAAUCGAGAUGAAGAUCUUCAAGAACGACAUGUUCUUCCUCGAACAGAUGGUGAGAUACAACGCGUUUGGUAUCACGAUUUGGGAAGGGACUCUCGAUGUUUGGUGAUUUUGCUAGAGGUAGGAACAACUCCUGAUGGUAUUCCGAAUAUUCUAUUCGAAGGAAGUUACGAAGGCCUCAACAAUGAUCAAAUAACUGGGUGGUCUUCCCGCCCUGGUAUGGGACACUACCGAUGGUUGAGAGGCCCUAUAAAUCAUCUUCGAAGAGAACAGAGAUCAGAGUAUGUGGCGAAUACAAUUCGUCGCAUCAUAGAUUUCCUCAACAGAUGAUGACUGCUCCUCGUGGAACUCGUCUCUAGAAGGGGGGGUAAUGUCACGGCCAUAAUCAUGUAAGCUAAUAAUUACAUAUAGAAAUAGGUAGAAGUAAGUAAAAGUAGAUAAAAGUAAGUUAAUUCUAUAAUAUUUAAUAUAGAAGCUUCCUAGAAACUUUCUAGAUGCUGCUUUGACUUCAUAGGUGUCUUUAAUUGACUUUUUGGAUUAGAAACGUGGUCAACAAGUUGGCCAUGUGCCACACAUGUUGUUAGCUUGAAGAUCAAGCUAACUAUGUGGCCCACACGUAGAAAAACUUACCUUGUAAGUCAAGGCAUGUGUCCUACAAAGUCAACACAUAUUAGAGGUCCUAUAGAACGUCGCCACGUAGCCCCUAGUUAGAUAGUAUAUAUAGAGACAAGAGUGAAGGCUUCUUCACUCUUGUCAACUCCUUUCUUGCUUCUAGUCCAGGUUCAAGAGUCUUUAGUUUCUUGUCUUGUGACAAUAGCCAUUCCAGUUUCCUUUUAAUAUACCUACUUGUUCAUAUUUUGACUUAUUAUAUCGAGAUAGCCUUUUGGUGUAUAUUUUCCCUCAUCGAGUCUUUGUCCUUGACAAAUAUUUACUAUACACACAUAAUAACUAUUAAUAUUUAUGUACUUUUUUGGUACAAGAUUAAUUUAACUAAUAAAUAAUUUAAAUUAAAAAAUUACACAAAACAUAAAAAGAUGCAAUAAUUACAUAAUAGGAAUAUGUGCCAUCUAAAGUAGAAAUCUAAGACAUGUACACAUGUAUUAAUUUGUAUUUUAAUUUAUUAAAUAUAAUAUUAUAUUUGCUUAUUUUAUAAUUGUGCUCUACAUGCAUCUUAAUUCUUACAACUUGUGAUAUGGUUUCUUUGUUGUUACAUCUUAUUCUAAUAAAUCUUAAUUGAUCUUAUUUAUAUUAUCUUAGGAUAUAAUUUAUUUUUUGUAAGUUAAUAUUGUACUUAGAGAAUGAAAAAGUUGUAAAUAAUGCAUGAAUAGAUUAGGAGAUCUAUUUUUUUAUAUUUUAUUUUUAUAAAUAAUCUAUUCCAUCUGACGUUUCUAGCAAUUUGUAGAAAAUCUUUGUGAAGCAUUGCUUUAUAGUGCACAUUACUUUGGAGUAAUUAGAAGUGAUGAGUUAAAUUACUUAAGUGGUUGCAUUACUCUUGUUAGCUUAAACUUGUAUCUAUACAUUGUCAUGAUUGUUGGAUUCAAUGAGGUAAUUGAUUGUGAGCUUUUUGAUGGUCAUUUUGUGAGUUGAAAGUGUUGUGAUAGAAUUGUAUUAUAUUUUUCUAUCCAAGUUUGAAAUUUUGUAAAAAAAAUUGUAUCCCUAUGCUCUAUCAAAAAUUUGACAAUCUAUAUUGGAAUUGUAUCAUUUCUUAAGAGGUGUUGAAAUUAAGAGACUUGUGUGUCUUUCCUUCUCUUAAUAGUUUGUACUUUGCAUAUAAGCAAUUCUUUCUUUUGGCUUGAGAUUUUUCAUCUUGAUGUUAUUUGUAGAUUUUUCCCACUUCUGAGCAAUAAGGCUUAUCAAAUUGGAAUACAAAGCUUUGCAAUGGCAAGUUAACUAUUAAAUUGUUCCUCAACAUCAAUCAACAAAUGAAGGCUAUUUGAAAGGAAUUGAGAUAGUCACUUCUAAAUUUUGAUGUGUCACCUUGUAAAGCAUUUGCACUUCGGUGUUUGAGGCUAAUUUUAAGCACUAAUAAACUUUAUACUUAUCAUGUCAUGUUGUUGCUAUGCUGACUACAAAGUCCAAGGUCUAAUUAUUGAUAUUUUAAGUUAUUUAUAUUUUAUCUAUUUCAAUAAUAAUAGAAUAAUACUAAAAUAAAAAUAAAAACAAGAUUCUAUAUAAAUCUUGGGUAAAAAAGCCAAACCAAAUCAUUAUUACUCUAAGUGUCAAAUAUACUAUUAAAAAAGCUAAAUUUUAAAAAAACAUAUUACUAAAAGAAUUAUUAUGAACUUAUCAUAGUUAUAAUUCUAUACUUAUUAAACAUAUCUACACUUAUAUGUAAUUUUAAUAUAUCUUCUAUUUUAUAACGAAUUUAUAAUAGAUUUAUAUACAAUCAUAUUUUUAAAAUUUGUAAAAUAAUAUAAAGUAUUAAACAAAAAGAACUAAUUGUAUUAAAUUUGAUCAAGUUUAAUAAGCCAUGAUUUUAAUUGCUUUUCUUAAUAUUUUUCUUUAGAGGUGUUUCAAACAUUUCCAACAAGGUAUUAGAAUAAAUAGAAAAAAAUUCCUAAAGUUUAAAAAUAUGUAUAAAUUUCUAGAAUCUUACAAUGCAUUACUCUAAAUUCAUGUCUUUAUCAUAUUCUCUACCAAAUGUUAGCAUAGAAAGAUGUCUAUUGCUUAAUUUUUCAUCAUAUGCAUAAUAAAAAAAAAUAUGGUUAUAUUUUUUUCAAUUUGUGAGCAUAUUUGAAUCCAACUCCAAGGCAAGAAAGAAAAUAUUUGCUCUAGAAGUAGUUAUUAAUUCCAAGUAAUCAAAUAGAUUGGCCAUCUAUGAUCAAUUACUUGAAAGACUUUAUAUUGUCCAACUUUAUUGCUUUUGAAUCUAUCAAUUUGGAUUAAUAUGUGAGAUUUAGAAAAGAUAGAGAAAGUUCUAAUUCCAAGAUGAGUGCAUUCAAAACCACUAAUUAGAGAAAGAAAAAUCACUUAAUUCAAUGACCCUCCAUUGUAAUUGAUCUUCGAAUAUGAGUUUUAUAUAUAAAUCUUUUAGAUUUAAGUUUUUAUGUAAUUAUAUUGUUAAUAAUAUAUAUAGCAAUAACUAUAAAAAUAAUAUAAGAAGAAGAAAUAUUAAAGACUAUAAUUUUAAUUUUUAAAAUUUUAAAAUAAUAAAAUAAGAAAUAAAUAAAUAAAAAUAAAAGAAUAAAAAAUAUGUAAUGUGUAAAAAGAUGAUUUUUAUUUAUUAACUUAUAUCUAUCUAUAUAUAUAUAUAUAUAUAUAUAUAUAUAAAUUAUUUAAUUAUAUAAAAUCAUACUAAUAAUUUUUUUAUGGUGCACAAUUUUUUAAAUAUAUUUACUAUUCUACUAUACAUAGUUUUUUUUAUAAUAUUAAAUUAUUUUGAUAGCUUUUUUUUAAUCUUAAAACUAAAUAUGAUAUUAUAACUAUUUUUUUUAAGAUAGAAACACAAUCAUAAUUACAUUUAGAAGAUUAUGAUAUUUUUGACAAGAAUACCAAAUUAAGAUGCUAUAUUAAUACUUUGUUGUAUUGAAACAAAAUUGAUGUAAAACUAUUAACUUUUGUAAAUUACCUUUUUCCUUCCACAUUUUUAUUCUUUAUUACAGUUCUUUUUCAUAAAAAUUGAAUGCGUGUAUGUAUGUAUGUGUAUAUAUAUAUAUAUAUAUAUAUAUAUAUAUAUAUUAUAGAUUUUAGAAAAAAUUAAUAAAAUUAUAUGUAAACAAGAAAUUUAUAAGUUUUUGAAUUUUUUCUAUUGUUUGAUAAUUCUGUAAGUCAAAACCAUAAAGUACAUAGAAUUUUUAUUUUUAUUUAAUUGUGGUUAUAUUAUAUACAUUUUUUUAUUUUUUUAUGAUGUAAAAAGAAUUUAUAUAGAAAAAAAUACAUCAGUAUAAUAAUAAUAGUAGAUAUCAAAUUUUACAAAAUAAAAAUAUCAAAUAUUUUAUAUAUCGUAUGAGUUUUUAAUUUUUAGAUAUACUUAAUUUGUAAAAAUAAUAUGAAUAAAUAUAUAUUAUUUUUUUAAUAAAAAUAUUUUAAGAUUACAUCUUUGUUUAUGUGAUACAAAAUUGUUCUUCUAAACCAUUAGUAUGAUAUUUUGGUGUUUGUAUAUUUUUUCUAUUCUAGCGUUUUUUAUCUUUUACAAUGAAAACUGCUCACUACGAGCAGAUUAUCUUCUUGAAUACUAAUAUACAUGAUAUCGUCUGCAUACAUGUAUGCCGGUUAGAGUAUUGGUCACAAAAGAAAAAAGAAAAGAAAAGAAAAACUUACCUUCUCAAAUUUGUCUUGCAGUAGGUUGCUCUUUGCCAAAUCCACCGCGGCAUUCACGCCAUGCACAAUCAGAGCAAAAACUAGCUGCACUCCCGCACAAUGACUACCACUGUUGAUGUUGGGUCAACUACCCCAAUCACCUCCCAAACUUCUUCGGCUUGCCCUCCCCCACCAGCUUCUUCAUCGUGAACAUGUAAGUUGUGGUGCACCAACUUGUAUUCCUUCACCUUCAAGCCACUCUCAAGAAACUGCAUAGCUUUCUCUCCAUGAACAGUGACGUAGCAUGCGAUGUUUUCAUUACACCUGAUUCCAAAAGAACGCAUAGUGUAUCUUGCCUUCAAAAAAGACAAGAGAUUGACAGCUCAGUUGCUCCAACACCUUGGACGCGCAAGUCAAUCUGUCGCCGCGCUCUCCCAACUAAGCUAUCCACGCACAAGAACAAAACAGAAUUGGAUCAUGAACGGCACCCUCUUGCCUCCUCGCAGUUGUACCAUCAUCCCGGCAUAGUAGAUCCUGACUUCCUCCUCAAACCUCAGGUCCUCAUUUCUUACCACCAUCGGUCCCUCGAUCUCAUCCGGCGUGUACGCCAGUCAGGUCAUCAGCUUCUCCUACGCCACGCAGCAGAUCCCCCCCCCCCCCAAACUCCUCGCUGCUGAUUGCAAAAGGUGGUCUGCCAAUCAAGGCUACUUUGCUCCUAUCAACUACUUCGGCAGUGCAAAAAAAGAGAAAUAAUGAAUUGCGGCUCUUGUAUCGGGAUAGGGUUGGAACAUAGAGAUUGCCGCCAUCAACUCUUAAGUAGCUCUGCAGUUGGCACCACAACAAUCUCUGUAGCUAGCAUCGCAGCAUCGCAGCAUCUCCAGUUGUUUGAUGUUUUGUAUUGUAUUUCUCUUCAUGUUCAUGUAGUGCUUCUGAUUGGUGUUUUUGUUUUAGCCUGGUUUUUGACUGUUAUCUAUGUUGUGCUGUGUUGUAGGAGAAUUGAUAUGAUAAAGGGUUUCGAGGAAUAUUUUGAAGGCAAAAUUAAACUCUCGGAGUCCUUGGAGCUUUUGGAGUCACCAGAGGUUAAUAUCUGAUUGAAACCUGUGAAAAAUUUGAUGCCAAAUGUCCCCCUCCUCAAACUACGACCCGAUUGCUUAAGGUAAGUUGUGGUUUCAGUUUCAAUCUAACUUCCUCCCUCUUGCAUACGCCGUAUGUGGCGAAUUUUUGUAUGUUUUCACUAACUAUUUGUUCCUCUAUUCUUUUUUCUGGCUAUGCUGCUGUUCGUGUCCUCCCGUAUUUUUUUCAGAGGUCUGGACAAAGCGAAUUUUUAUCUUUUUAUAUAUGUCUGUGUGAAUCUUGAAAUAAAGCAUCAUACGCUGCUGUAUUAUUGCGAACGUGUACUAACGCAUUUUCUCAUACGGAGCUCAGCUCGUAGGCCACUUCAUUGAGGAGCAAUGUGUGAACCCAACUUUCAUCAUGCUUCAUCCACAAUUCAGGAGCCCUCUUGCCAAGUGGCAUCGGUCUAUUCCAGGCUUAACGGAGCAAUUUGAGUUGUUUUUGAACAAACACGAGGUGCACAAACAAUAUCUGCUCGUGUUUUGAAAGCCCGCAGAUGUAUUUUGCCUCAACAACUGUUCUUGUACAAUCCGUUUGUUGACGAUCGCUGAGCCUGCUCGAUAUUUUGUGGCAGGUGUGCAACGCUUACACUGAGUUAAACGACCCAGUGGUUCAAAGUGAGCGGUUUGCUGAUCAAGUCAAGGUGCAUAGCUAUUUCUCCUCUUUGUCGUUUACUACGUUAUGAAAUUUGUAUUUCAAAUGGAGAGUGAUUCGUCCAUCCUUCUUGGAUUCCUCGCAGGACCGGGAGAAUGGAGAUGACGAGGCAAUGGCCAUCUAUGAGAACUUCUGUACUGCACUUGAGUACGGAUUGCUUCCAACAACUGGAUGAGGCAUGGGGAUUGACAGAUUCGCGAUGAUGCUCACUGAUUCCCAAAACAUCAAGGUGUGAUUAACUUAUUUGUCGAUGUAAUUAUAUUGUGCAGAUGAUGAAUCCUUUCUGAUUAUAUCUGCUUGUAUGUACUUUUAUGUAAAUCCUAUUUACACUUCACUAACUUCCCUUGGAACACAAUUUGAGUACUAUUUCUGUUCUUUCUGUCAAUAGGAGGUCUUGUUGUUCCCGACCAUGAAGACGUGAUGGAGCCGUCGGUCCGAGCAGCAGACGAUUUGUCUUCGUAGGCUUUUUUGCGUCCGCCGUUGAAUCGACUCAACAUUUUCAUUCAUUCGUUAUCAUUAGGUCGCCGUCACUGCCGAGUGAUGAUUUGCUUAUACUGGUCAUGAACCUCAGAUCGAUGACGUCUGCUACAACACUAUUGACCUACGUCCAUCGCUUGUAAUUACCUUGGGGUCCCUGUAUCUCAGUUAUGCGAGCUUGCAAGUUGGGGAAAGAUAUUCAUGAACAAUUCGUGUAAAUCCUUGGCUCAGCUUGUUCUUCAGCUAGCGGCACUCAAAGUGCUUUUGUGAAGUAGAUUUAUUAGAUGCAAUAUAUCUUUGAUAUCUGUUUUCGGUAACAUUGAAAAUAUUUCAAAUCACAGUAAAUUUUUUAACAUAAAAAAUUUAAAUGGUAUAAUAUAAGACCUAUAGUAAAUACGUUUUUUAUACCUUUAAAUGACUCCUUUGUAUCUUUAUUUUAUUUGAUCAUUUUCUUAAACUAUAAUUCACAAGUUUUAAAUUUUAACAAAAAAUAUUAAAUAAAAUUUAACAAUAAUAAGAAAAUUAUAUAAAUCAUGGAUUGUGUUCUAUUAUCUAAAAAUUUGUGAAACCCUAAAGAAUAUAAACUAUUUUAGAAAAUAUAGAUAGAUAGAUAGAUAGAUAGAUAGAUUUUUACUUAGAAAAGUACAUUAAAAAUAUUAAUAUUUUUACAUCAUUCAUUUAAAAAAUAAAAUAAAUAUGAUAGUUUAAUAGAUAAAUAUAUAUAUAUAUAUAUAUAAUAUAUUUAAAUUUAUCUAAAAAAAUCACUAUGUUUCAUAUUAGCUAUUAGCUAAGCUAUUUUAUUAAAAUAAAUUAUAAUUUUAAUCUCAUUUUUGGUUUAAAACACAUAAUUAGAUAACAAAAAUUAAAAAAUAUUUAAAUCUUCUUCUAAUUUUCUAUAAUGACCGACAAAAAUUAAUAAAAUCUUACUUUAAUAAACCUUAAAAAAAUUCCUCAAAAUUUAUUGAUUAAAUAUAAAAUAAAUAAAAAAAUAAAUAAAUCUACCAAGUAAAUAAAUACUUUAAAAAUAGUAAUCUAAAAAUUCUAUUUAUUUUAUCAUGUCUUUUUUGAUAUUUUAAUAAUAAAAAUAAUAAUUAAUUUCAAAGACUUAUAAUAAUUACAUAAUUAAUAUCUACCUAUAAGAUUUUUAGAAUCCUAAAAAUAAUUCUUAUUUCUUAGAAAUACUAAAUCAUUUUUAAAAAUAAAAUUACCAUUUAUUUGUUCAAAAGAUCAAUAAGUGUAUCAUUUAAGUUAUAUUAAUAAAGAUUACAAAAUAUAUUUUUUAAUGCCUAUGAAAUUAUAUUCUAUUAAAAAAUAUUUUUAAUAUAUAUAUUAUUAUAAUUAGGUAAACUAAAAAUUAAAAAUAUUUAAAAGAAAAGAUUAGAACUAUUAAUGAUUAAUUUAUUGAAGUUACAAUAAUCUAUAAACAUUUUUUAAGAUUAUUUUUUACAAAAAAUAUUAGCAUAUCUACAAAUAUAUUUAUAUAUUUUCAAGUAAAAUUAUUUUUAAAAAUUUCAUCAAUGUACAUUUUUAAGUUGCUUAGUAUUGUUGACAUGUAUAUUGAUGGUGGAGUUGAAUAGAAGUAGAUAAAAAUAAAUUAGAAAGGUAAUAUCUUGUAUAUGAAAUAAUAGAAAAUAUUUUUAUAUGCAAAAUAGAGUUACAGGAAUUAUGUGGUGACAAUAACUUCUUUAAGGAGUUUCUUUUACUUUUAUAUAGCGACCAUAGAAGUAUUGCUAUAGAAAAUGUUUUUCAAGCAAACACUAAAUUCUUGUCUAGACUAAGAUUUUUUUUUAAAAAAAAUAUCUUAUAAAAAUUCAAAAUUAAAUAUAUUUAAAAUUCAAAUUAUUUAUUAAAAAUUUUAGAAAAAAUAUAUAUAGUAGCAUUUUAUCUCAAUUUAAUCUACUAUUAACAUAAUUUCUUUUUUUUUUUAAUAUGUAUAUUUAUAUUUUAACAUUUAGUUGAGAUUCUGAUAAAAUCUCUUAAUAUUUGAUUUUCUUCUUUAAUGUAUUUUACUUUUAUAAAAUUAUAAUACUUAUUUAAAUUAUCUCUUUUGUUUUAAAAUAAUAUCAAUAAGUAACAAAUAAAACAAUAUAAACAAAGAUUCAAAAAAUAAUAUAUAUAGACUCUUUUGUGUUGAAAAAUUUGAUCAUGAACAAUUUUAUCUUUAUCUUUAAUAACUUAAAUUUUAUUCAAUUAAAUCGAAAAAAUAUUUAUAUUAAAUAUAGUUUUAGUCUAAAUAAUUUAGUACUCAUUAAAAAUAGAAAUAAAUAAAAGAUACAUUUUGAACUAUUCAAAGAUAUUUUGACUAUAAUAUAAUAAUAUUUGUUCUUACAUAUGUUUUUAUUGUUUUGCAAUACUUGAUGAAUGAUAAAUUUUAUAAAAUUUUUAAAUAAUUUUUUGUAUGUUAUUUUUAAAAAAAUAUCUAUUUAAAAAAAACAAACUUAAAGAUGUGAAGUUAUGUCUUUAUAUAUAUAUAUAUAUCAAACAAUUUAAGUAGAAAUUUUGAAAUAUUUUGUUUUAGAUAAUGGUAUAGAAAUAAAUUUUAAGAAUAUAAAAACUAUAUUAAUUAAAAAAUAUAUAUUUAGGACUGUAUAAGAUAUUUAAGGCUUCUAAAAAUUUGCUAACUAUUAGUAGAUAUUUAUUAAUGAUUUUUUUUAAUUGCUCCACUUAUACUAAUAACUUUAAAUAAAAAAUACAAUAUAACGGCUAUAAAAACAAGAAUUUAAGGUUUGAUAAACAAAAUUUACAAGAACUACAAUUUUAAGCUAUUGUAAAUUUUUAAAGCCAUUAUUUAUAAAAGUAUUAAUAAUAAACUUUGCAUUCAAUACAGAACUAUAAUAAUUUAAUUCAUAUAAUAUAUAUUUUAUUCUUUAUUCUUUAUUUGAAAAAAUAUUUUAGUUUUUCAAAUUAAUAAAAAAAAAAUACAAGGAAAAACUCUUUGAAAUUAUAAAUUUAUUUUAAAGAUGGAAUUCUAAUCUAGAUAGAAUUUUUAGAACAUUCACAAUUUAUUUUAAUAAAAAUAAGCUUGAAUACUUAUGUCGAUGUGUAUCUUAAAUUUUUAUCAAAUAUAGUGAAGUACAAAUAUGACAAGAUUUUCAUUUAAUAUUAUAUAUUAUUUCCAAAACAUUAACUAUUGGAUGUCGUUUUUAGAUAUUUUUAUCUUACAUCAAAGGAAGAAAAUUCUACAUAUGAUUAUUAAAAAUCUAUUUUUUAGAAACUUCAAAAGGUAUAUACUAUAAAUUAUAUAUAUAUAUAUAUAUAUAUAUAUAUAUAUUAUUCAAUUUUUUUUAAUAAAUUUUAAUUAAAUUUUUAAAAAAACCUUGUUAUUUGUUAAAUUAGAAAUUAACUUCAAUAUAAUUUUAUUUUAUUUGACUCAAUUUAAUUUUAAAGAUAUUCUUCUCAAUUUUAUAGGACAUCUUUUUAUUCAAUAAAACUAAGUACAAUUACAUUUAUUUCGAGUACAACAUGAUUUUUCAAUAACAAGAGAGUUUAAGUUCAACAUGAUUUUGGAGUUUAUUUAAUAUUUUUGAUUGUAUAGAAUUUUAAAACCAUUUUCUAUUCUAAAUCAACUAUAGCCAUGUUUUAUUAUAGAUCAACCAACCUCAAAUUCUAACACCUAAAUUGUUGUUUUGGUCAGUUGUUUAGUUAAAAUGACACAUUUUGUACCUUAUUCUAAAACCAUUUUAGGUGAAUAAAUAACUAAGACAUUUUUUUAGAAAUAUCUUUUUAUAUUAUUAAUUCUUAAAUCGUAUUUUAUUUGAUCUAUAGACACCACUUUUUAAUUGAAGUUUUAGAACAUGUUUAAAAAUAUUCAAGAUGAAGAUUAAAUUAACAUUAAAUUUUAAUGAUUAUAUGAACUUAACAAAAAUAAAACACAAAAUAUAAAACAAAAAAAAAAUCCAUGAAUUAAGUAUUAGAGCAGUAUUUGCAAUAUACCAUCAAUUACCAUUAAGAAAAUUAAAUAAGUUUUUUGUCAAUUGCCAAAAAAAUUGUAAUGAGAUGAUUCAUUGAUCUACUUAACAAAGAUCAUUUUUUUAGCUAAUGGGUUAUAUUUAUAAAUAAGAAAUUUUAACUUCUUAAAAUUCAAUAAUUAUAUAGUAUAAGAUUUUGCAAAUAGAUUAUUAGAAUUCUCCACAACAAUAAACAUACAAUUGUAGAAACUGAGAAAUAACAAGAAACCAAUGCAUACAUUUUUACAAAGAAUUAAAUUUUAUUCAAAGAUAAUAAUAUAACGUGGUUUUUAUAGAGUUUUAGAAAUUUUAUUUAAAUUAUAUGAUUUUUAAAUUUAAUUAAUAAAAUUUUAUUUGAAAUUAAAAAAAUCUUAAUAAUUUAUCUAACUAAUUAUAUAUAAGAUUAAUCUAUUAUAUUUUAAAAUCUUAUGAAUUUAUAAGAACUAUUCAAAAAUUACAAGCUUAUAACCAAUAUUAAAUCUUAAAAUAAUAUUUUAAUAUAAAUAAAUCAUAAAAGAUAAAUAUUAUAUAUACAAAGAUAUUUUUUACUAUUUUCAUAAGUAAAAAUAUUAUCUCUUGUGAUAUAUUAUUUUGCACCUAAAUUUACAAAUAGAUAACUAUUUUUUUCUAAUUUUUAAUGUUUUGAGUUUUAUUAAAGAAAACAUUAUUAUUAAUAUUAAUUAAAAUAUUUUAUUGUAAGGAAAUUUUAAUUAAUUUUUAAUAUUAAAAAUAUCUUAAAAAUCCUUGGUAUAAAUGACACCUUGUGACAUUAAAUUGUUCUAUUUAGAAUUGAUUUUAGAGUUUUAUUGAAUUUUAAAAGAAAUCUUCAAAAUCUAUAAACAAGAGAUAUCAUAUAGAAUAAAUACUAAAGAAGAGAAGUUGACUCUUUUAAGAAAUGUAACUAGCUGAAAUCAUUUUUAAAGCAUAAAUUGAUUUAAUGUGGCCACCUAGAUAGUCUCCAUUAAGAGUGGUCAUAUCCAAUUCAUUGCGGUUCAUAAAAAGUUAAUGAUAAAAUUCAAAUAAAUUAUAUUUUAUUUAAUAAAAAAUUAUUUUCAAAAUUAUAAACAUGUCCAAAAUUUAUCUAGUUAAGCAAAAAGAAUGCAAAAUCUAAGAUUUAUAAGUAAAUGGACAAAAUAAAGUUUUUUAUCCUAAAAUAUAAUCAAUUUGGUAAAUCAAAAAAAUAUAAGAAAUAUGAAAAACAUAAGAAGUGUUUAUUACAUCAUAGAAAAUAUUUUUUUAUUUUUUUAAACCAUAGCUCAUUAAUAAUUCUAGCAAAACAAGGUAGCAUUCAUGUAGAGUGAUAAGAAUAAUUGAAUCUAAAUUCACUUUGGUCUGAUUAAAAAAUAAAUGUAAAAUAAUUACAUGUAUUAAAAAUAAUACCAUAAAUUAGAGAAGAUAGCUCUUAUAAUAGAGUAUAUUUUAUGAUAAUUAAAGUCAAUUAUACAUAAGUAUAUUAAAUAAAUAAAUAUAUAUAUAUAUAUAUAUAUAUAUAUAAGAUGAAUUUAGGUCUAAAGUUUAUUUUUAAUUAUAAUACUUGAGAUGGAUCUAAUAAUUUGUUUAUCUACUAUUAGCUUUAAUUACAAUCUUACUAUACUUUUGCAAACUUUUAUAUAAUCUCUUUUAUUCAUCAAGAGUGAUUAAAGUCAAACAAACUUUAAUACAAGCCUAUAAUUCUAGUAUUUCUUUUGAAAAGGUCUCAUAUUGGUUCAAAUAAUAUUUGAGAAUUGUCUACAGAAGUUUAAUUGGAUUGUGGUUAGAAGAUUAUGAUGAUCACUUGAUAAGGCAAAAUCCUUGUAAAUUCAACCACGAAGUUAUAAGAUUAGAUGUAUGCUUUGGAUCAUUCUUCUAUUAAAUAAACAUAUUUUUAAAAUUCAAAUUAUAUGGAUGAAAUGCACAAAUCAACUUGCAUUCUUAAAUCUCCUUGUGAAGGUAUCAACCCAUUAUUCUUUCAAUCAUGCACAUCAUGCCAUGGCCUUCCACAAUCAUACAAUCCCAUAUCAUUGCUCCUCCAUCUCCAAUCUUCACCAUCUCAUGUACUCCUUUGGUUCUCAAAGACUCUCUUACAAAUCCAACACAAGCUAUGACCAUUAGAGCAAAACCAAUUUACUUUUCUUUCAUCAAAGAGCACAACAUGUGCCCAUCAUCACAUGUCUAAUGUUCAUGAUGUUUUGCAAACUCAAAUCUUGACUUUAUAUGACUAGUUGUGAGCUUUGGAUUCUUUUGUUUAGCUUUAGAUUUUAAGCAUGCUUGAUAUAAUAUCCUUCACACAAUAGAAUGAGACACAAUAAUGUGGGCCUUCUCUUUCAUGUAGAUGCCUACAUUGGAUAUUGUCUCAAAGCCACCAAUAUAGAUUGAUUCCACACAUAACUCUAAUUUGUUACACAAAACCUUCUUGGUCCACUACCAAUACUAUAAUCUAUACCAUUCAACGCACGUAAAUAUUGCUUACAAAGCUAAGCAAUAAAAGUUUGGAACACUUGCAAAUCUCUGGCAAUCUUUUUAAUACUAUCACUACUCUUAAGCCUUGCUAAAGCAUCAACAUCUAGCUAUUGUCAUUCAACUUGAGUGGCAUACCUUAAUGAGCCAUUAAGCCAUUUUGUUAUAAUAUGCAUUGGUGGUGUAUAAGAUUAUACAACAAAAUAUAUUGCCAUCAUGUAGAUCAAAUCACCCACACUAAGUUUGAGAGUAUGGAUGCUCUUAUACACCACCAAUGCAUGCAUGGGACGUGGUUUCAUGUGAAAAAAAUAAAAAAAAUAAAAAAUAAAAUUCGGGGUCUAGUAUUGUGCACAAGAUAAUUCACUACAUGAAGCGACUUUGGUAAAAGAUGAAAAUACAAAGAAGCUUUCUCGUUGGUCAAAAAUGAACAAUCCAACACUGAUAGUAACAAUCAAAGUUGGUGAAAUUUGAGUAAAAAAAGACGCUUAGUAACACAUUAUUGCAAUAAAACCACACUUACCUCCAGUUCUAGACCUUUACUGGCAAUCUAUGUCCAACCAGAAAUAAACAACACUUUCUUAGCAAAUAGCUUCGUUGCUUUCAGCCCAAGUUGACUACAAAACAUAAGAAGUGCUAGAAAGUCAGCUUGUAUUUUAAUUAUAAUUGCAACACUUUUGGUAAUGGCAGUUCCAUACUACAACCGUAAGUCUGUCUCGUAAACUCAAGGCAACUGAAAGAAAGUCUUUCUUCAAGUAUGCUUCAUCACCUUCGACGUGGUCUCGCCAACAUAGGUGUAGAUGGACAUUCCACAGCUAAAUGUCCCCGACCUCCACAAUUAUUGCAGACCACAACCUGGAAAAACAGCAGAUCGAGACACAAUGUCAAGUCCGAUUUCCAUUCCAUUACAACAGUCCGGAUACUGAGCUGGAAGAAAUAAACCUUGCCUCAGUAAUGGCAGCAAGUAUUUUUCAAUUUUCACUAAAAAUAAAUUGGACAAUACUGUAGUUCGUGACUAAAAAUAAGGCAGGUGUCACUUGUGAUCAGAAAGACUAAUACGCUUUAGACAUACCUGCAAGCAUUCUUUGCUUUUGUGACCGCGUUGGUGACAAUUAUGACAAACCAUAUCAUUCGGAUUAAAAGUAGAAGUAGGUCCUCGAACAGGAGGGGCAGAGUCCAUCAGAGGACAAUCUCGUACAAUGUGACCCGGUUGGCUGCAGCCAUUGCACACGGGACUAUUGAGGCAAUCCCUUGCCAGAUGUCCAGCCUGGCGACAAUUGUUGCACGCCUUCUCGUUGGGACAAUCCACAGCAAGAUGUCCUGGUCUAUAACAGUUAUUGCAUAGCCACGCUUUAGGAAUCCCUCCUUCCUGCACUGCACAACCUUUGGCAAGAUGUCCGGGUUUCCCGCAGGUAUUGCAGAUUGGCUCGCUUCGACACUCAUUCGCGAUGUGUCCUGGCUUCUUACAGUUGCGGCAUAAAGGCUCCACUGGACAUGCAGCAGCAAUAUGCCUGAAACAAAAUAUUUAUAGAAGACAAUAUUCUUCAGAAUGUUAAUCUCAUGCUGCAACAACUGCAACACCAUCGAUUUCAACGUAUUAGCAUUCAUUUAAAACGAAACACUGGAACAAACUAUCUUACGGUGACAAUUCCUCUACCACUCCAUACAUGUACAACUAAGAGAUACCGUGACAAAUCCCAGUGUACAGCGGUACGCAUUCAUCAUUCCAUUAAGCAACUGAAAGUACAGAUCAAAACAUUUAUGAUAAAAAAAGAUUAUUUACACAUACCCUGAGGCUCCACAAUUAUUACACACUGCUGCAUUUGGGCAAUCGCGAGCAAAAUGUCCGGUGCGCCUACAGUUGUUACACAAUUCUGGAGCUGCCCCCCUGUAAGGAAACAAUAUAGUAUCAAAACUCUUGAUCCGAAUAGUAUGAUCAUAACCUAAUCUAAAGCCUAACAACGCAUUUGUCACAUCACACGAACCAUACGAGCAUAAACUACCAUUCCAAGAACUGAGAAUGAGUUGAAAAAACAUGGAGACUUUCUCACUCUAAAAUCCUUCAAAUAAACAUAAAUAUAUAAAGAAGAAGAUGGUUUUAAGCUGAACCACAUCCACUCCUAAUUGAGUUCCCCCAGUGCAGCCUGUGGCCCUCGCCAUGUUCAAAGUGAGAAGCAUGGCCCGCAAUCCUCAAAUUGUCGACUAUAGAUACCGCGAAGCAAUAAGACAUGGGAUGUCUGCGUAAAUCCCGUGAAUUAACUGCUGCGCGGAACUCGGAUGGGUUUUGUUUUAUUUUAAAAAGGCCACUACCCAUCGAACCACCACCACCACCACCACCAACUACUUUUCCCAAAAGUUUAACAAACUUCAACACUUCAGUCAUGUCACACCACACUCCACUUCCACCUCAACAUUCACACAACCCCGCUUCAACUACUCCACAACCAUUUCUCUACUUCACCAUCUCAUCAUACAAAAUAUCCCCUUCUUAUCUCCACACUCUAUCACGCCCUUCACACCCUUCACACCCUUCACACCCUUCAUCCGGUACCUCUGCCCACAUUCCCACACAACCCAAGUGACAACAACCCUCCAGUUCUCCCCCACAUGACAUUCCUCCAACACAACCCAAAACUUCACUUUCCAUCCUUCAGACCAAUCCAAUGUAUAAUAAUCCAUCCGUUCUCUCCAAAAUGCCAUUCGUGCAACGCCAACCAAACCUUCUGUCUUCAAACUUCAUAUCAAGCCCCGCAACAUUUCUGUCCUUUUCCAAACCAGACACUUCGAGUUUUCCAGGAAGUCCACAACGUUUCUUCGCAAAAUGGCCCAUGUCUGCGGUUUGAACAAGAAGACGAAGUUGAAGCAGCGCGAAAGUAAAUGCAUCAC